UUUAAGUUAGUUUAUAUAAAAAUAUCAAGAUGUGGGCUUGGAGAUAGGGGUGCCCCUACUUAAUA
RNAcentral lists this transfer RNA (65 nucleotides) under Bathysciadiidae sp. MNHN-IM-2013-40843. RNAcentral's name for it is "tRNA-His". Lineage: Eukaryota; Metazoa; Mollusca; Gastropoda; Bathysciadiidae. The record is from RNAcentral.